AUUAGAAAAAAAAUGGGGCUCAAACCGGAGAAGCUUCAAAAAAUCUGGAUAUAGUGAGAAACCAGAGCUGAAAUUUGCAGUUGAUGAAACGCAAUGAAGUGUCUGAGUCUAUCGCCGCUUCUCUCACCACCUUCUUUGAGCUUCUCUUCUUCCAUCAAGACCCCAUUUCUGGUGGCUCUCACCUCCACGCCCUCAAAAACACAUACUCCCAAACGCUCCUCGAAAUCCGCUAAAACUCUCUUUCCAACCACCACCACCUCUCUUCCUCCCAAAAAGGUUCUGGUGCCUAUUGGAUAUGGAACGGAGGAAAUGGAAGCGGUUAUUCUAGUCGACGUUCUGCGGCGAGCUGGUGCGAACGUGGUUGUGGCGUCGGUGGAACCCCAGCUCGAGAUUGAGGCUUCUAGCGGCACCAGACUGGUUGCUGAUACCUCCAUCUCAACAUGCUCUGAUGAAAUUUUUGAUCUCAUAGCUUUGCCGGGAGGAAUGCCGGGCUCUGCACGAUUGAGGGAUAGUGAAAUUCUCCGGAAAAUUACUAGCAAACACGCUGAGGAAAAAAGGCUGUAUGGUGCUAUAUGUGCUGCUCCAGCCAUUACACUUCAACCAUGGGGCCUUCUGAGAAGAAAACAGAUGACUUGUCACCCAGCAUUCAUGGACAAGCUUCCAACCUUCAGGGCUGUUAAAUCAAAUCUACAAGUUUCUGGGGAGCUCACAACAAGCAGAGGCCCCGGAACUGCUUUUGAGUUUGCUUUAGCAUUAGUUGAUCAACUUUUUGGAGAGUCUGUAGCCAAGGAGGUUGGAGAAUUGUUGCUGAUGCGUACUGCUGAGGACAAUCAUAAAAAGGAAGAGUUUAAUGAAGUUGAAUGGUCAGUUGAUCAUAGUCCUCAUGUUCUUGUCCCAGUUGCAAAUGGUUCUGAAGAAAUUGAAGUGGUUACAGUUGUAGAUAUUCUACGGCGAGCAAAGGUGGAUGUUGUGGUUGCUUCAGUUGAGAAAUCUUUGCAGAUUUUAGCAUCUCGAGGCAUUAAACUUAUAGCUGACAAGUCAAUUGAUAAUGCUGCUGAAUCAAUUUAUGACUUGAUCAUUCUUCCGGGGGGGAUUGCUGGUGCUGAGCGGCUGCACAAAUCCAAGGUUCUGAAGAAGAUGCUCAAAGAACAAGGAUCAGCAGGAAGAAUAUAUGGAGCAAUCUGCUCCUCGCCAACAGUCUUACAUAGACAAGGGUUACUCAAGGGUAAAAGAGCCACCGCUCAUCCCUCUGUAGCUAGCAAGCUCACCAAUGAAGUAGUGGAGGGAGCUAGGGUAGUUAUUGACGGCAAGCUGAUUACAAGCAGGGGGCUUGCAACUGCAAUAGAAUUUGCAUUGGCAAUUGUUAGCAAGCUUUUUAGUCAUGCAAGAGCAAGGAGUGUAGCUGAAGGUCUUGUUUUUGAGUACCCUAAGAGCUAGAGAGACAGUGUCUGGCACUUAUGGUUGGAGUUACCCUGCACCAAUUCAAGUCAGUGGUUGAAAUGAGUCAAUUUCUUGCCAGCUGCUUGGGCUUGAAAUGAGAAUUGGGUUUUUGUAAUCAACAUCUCAGGAUUGUAUUUUGUGCUAGUACUGAUUUCUGUAAAGGUCUCAAGUAUCACAAGCUCCAUAACUGACUCAGAUUUUUCUUUGGACUGCUGCAGUUUGGGAUUCUUGCUUGAGCCUUCCUUCGUGUUGAAUGCUAAGGGGUAAACACUACGAAUAGAAUUAUUUUCACAGAGAAGUAGAACUGAUGACUAGAAGAAUGCUGGUGCUGAAUUCUUGUAGAAUCCUGGUUGGGAUCUUCUAGUUUGUUUUCCUAGCCACUAAUUAAUUGGGAUAGCAGGAUGAAAAGAUCCCUUUGGCAUUUACCUUUAUUUAUAGACUAAUUUAAACAAUUUUAUA
Molecule: RNA transcript, 1899 nt
Organism: Vitis vinifera (wine grape)
Lineage: Eukaryota; Viridiplantae; Streptophyta; Magnoliopsida; Vitales; Vitaceae
Gene name: protein DJ-1 homolog C
Exons: 9
Source: RefSeq, a predicted model, not a curated record